GUCGGAAGGAUGACGGGCCUUAGGAUGAAGAAGAGCCCCUGUCUCCAAGGGCCAUCGCCUCCGUUCUGGGCACCUGGCUGGACCAGACUCGGAGGACUUCUCUCAGCCCGGACGUUCCCUGCCUCAAGCAGCUGGUGGCCUAUGUGCAGCUCAACAUGCCCGGUUCUGACCUGGAGCGCCGUGCCCACCUUCUGCUGACCCGGCUGGAGCACGCCGAGCCCACAGAGGCCGAGCGCGAGGAGCCCCAUGGAAGCUGGCCUGGCUUCUGCCCCUGCGCCUGGCACCUCACCCGAGCUAGAGACACAGGUGGAGCCCGGCUCUAGCUCCUGAGAUGGUGGAGCAGCUGAGAGAGGAGAAGAAAAGCUCA
Callorhinus ursinus (northern fur seal) is the source of this 367-nucleotide long non-coding RNA. RefSeq lists it as uncharacterized. Lineage: Eukaryota; Metazoa; Chordata; Mammalia; Carnivora; Otariidae. The record is from RefSeq and is a predicted model, not a curated record.